Molecule: long non-coding RNA, 460 nt
Filed under: Nicotiana benthamiana
Lineage: Eukaryota; Viridiplantae; Streptophyta; Magnoliopsida; Solanales; Solanaceae
Description: long non-coding RNA (NBEN_LNC022541)
Source: RNAcentral
CUCGUUUUGCUUUUGCACAUCCUCUGGACACACAAGAAAAAAAGAGAAGAGUAAAGAGGAAGAAGAAGCUGAAGAACAAAUUAAAUCAAGAAAGUAACUGCAGAACAACUAGCUGACAUUGAAUUAAUGAGGAAGAAUGUGAAGGUUGCGAUUCUACUUUCUGUCAUUUGCCUCCUCCUAACAUCUGUCGUUGCUCGCAGAGGGGGCGGCAGAAGAGGAGUCGGUGUAAGCUGGUGCGUCUCGUAGUUCUAGUAGCAGCAGCAGCAGCCCAGCCAUCACCUUAGAGUGGUCUUGUUAUGCCAUUUCUCUAUUUACUUACUUCUCAUUCUUUUACUUCCAAACUCAACUACAUCAUAAAUUUGAUCAGCGGUGUAAUUACGUAUUCUUUUUACCUUGUGUAAUAUUAAAUGUUAGGAUUAUGAUUCCUACUAAAGACAACAACCUUCAUUUGAAUAAUCGG